RNAcentral lists this ribosomal RNA (253 nucleotides) under uncultured bacterium. Its description in RNAcentral is "partial 16S ribosomal RNA". It matches the Rfam family "Bacterial small subunit ribosomal RNA", at positions 524 to 776 of the family's 1533-position model. The record is from RNAcentral.
UACGGGGGGUGCAAGCGUUGCUCGGAAUUAUUGGGCGUAAAGAGUACGCAGGCGGCUUGGCAAGUCGAGUGUGAAAUCCCGGGGCUCAACCCCGGACUGGCAUUCGAAACUGCUGAGCUUGAGUGCGGGAGAGGGAAGCGGAAUUCCUGGUGUAGAGGUGAAAUUCGUAGAUAUCAGGAGGAACACCGGUGGCGAAAGCGGCUUCCUGGCCCGAUACUGACGCUCAUGUACGAAAGCGUGGGGAGUAAACAGG